RNAcentral lists this ribosomal RNA (356 nucleotides) under uncultured bacterium. RNAcentral's name for it is "partial 16S ribosomal RNA". It matches the Rfam family "Bacterial small subunit ribosomal RNA", at positions 355 to 719 of the family's 1533-position model. The record is from RNAcentral.
UGGGGAAUAUUGCACAAUGGGCGCAAGCCUGAUGCAGCAACGCCGCGUGAGGGACGACGGCCUUCGGGUUGUAAACCUCAUUUUAGCAGGGAAGAAGCGCAAGUGACGGGUACCUGCAGAAAAAGCACCGGCUAACUACGUGCCAGCAGCCGCGGUAAUACGUAGGGUGCAAGCGUUGUCCGGAAUUAUUGGGCGUAAAGAGCUCGUAGGCGGUUUGUCGCGAUCUGCUGUGAAAACGCGAGGCUCAACCUCGCGCCUGCAGUGGGUACGGGCAGACUAGAGUGCGGUAGGGGAGAUUGGAAGUUCCUGGUGUAGCGGUGGAAUGCGCAGAUAUCAGGAGGAACACCGAUGGCGAA